AUGGCAUUCAAGACGGGGGAGGUUAACCACCACACGCUCCAUUUCAGGACCCUUCUGGGGCCCAGCAGCACUAAUGUGUCUUCUGCCCUUGGAUAUGAACAUAUGCACAAACACACACACACACAUACAGGCACGCACUUACUGCUCAGGGGGCACUUUAACAUAAUUCAUAAAUAUGGAUCACUUUCUGUCAGUAUUUUUUUUUUGUCUGCCACUUGCCCCCUCAAGGUUUUUUUGUGGUAUGUUUGCAGCUCAUUACCUAAUGAUUUCAUAGCUUUGGUGUCUGAAUCAUGUUUAUGGAUGUGAAUUGAUAUCAUCCUGUGUCCAGGUUUGUGAAUGUCCAUGCUUGUGUAUGUGUGUACAGAUGUGCUUGACUUUUAUUAAUCGUUAUAGAAGCAUAUACUGUAUAUUAUAUAUGUGUGUAUAAUGGAAGAAGUAAUAAAACAUACAUCAAAACUUCUAAAAUAAGGAAUUCAGAAAUGAGGAAUUCAGUUUUGUAAAAUAAUGAUGUUCUUUCAAAUAUGUAGCCUUUUUAUUCGGCUGCAGAAUUAAAUCUAGAAACCAGUUACACAGCUGCAUUAUUUAUUCAAAUUAAGUGUGAAUAAAUGCUAUUGUGGAGAAGUCACUGUGGCUUUUUGGCUUUUUCACUUAUUCCCAUUUGCAUAUUGUAAUAUGAGACCAUGAAUCUGAGACAAAUUGAAAUCCAGAAGAACAGUAAAUUUACUCUCCCUCCAAGCAGGAACUGGGGUUUCCUCUCAUCUUUUUUUUUUUUUUUUUUUCAUGACCAAAGGUUUUGAUUUUAGAAAGCACUGAAAACAGUUCAUUCUUUUUCGUUUUUGGGAGCUGAUGAACAUGUUAAACAUCAGUAUUUGAAUCCUGACUGAUGAUACAAUCUAUAAAUGCUGGGUUAAAUACAACCCAGUGCUGGGUGUAACGUGGACAAACCCAGCAAUUGGGUUGUCAGCAAUGAGCUACUAGAAGAAUGUUUUGUUAUUAGUUUAAGGAUUUGCUAUUGACUGUUCAGAAGUUUUGUGUGUCACACGUGUGUGUGUGCGCGUGUGCGUGUGUGUGUGUGUGUGUGAGAGAGAGGACAGGGUCACACAAUGGAGUCAGCUGUCUUAAAGGGAUCCCCGAGUAUUAAGACAUGUAUAGCUUAAUAUAACAUUAAUGAUGUCUCUUAUUGAAAUAUGUAAUAGAAAAACCAUGAAAGAUCUACAUUAUUUUUAAAAAUCAACAUCGUUUUUACACCAUGGGGGGGGGGCACUAUUAUUAUUUUAUGUGCGCAGUAAAUUCACAGCUUCUGACACUUUUUAAUCGUGGCACAACUCAAGUACAUAAAAUACUGAUAUGAUACCACAUUGUGUGGCUUUGGUUUGUCAUUUUCAUUCGGAGGGCAACAAGAGAAGCAAAAUAAGACGUCACAGAUUUCCAAGCAAUAGGAAGAGUAGAAAAGAAAGGUAAGAUGCAUGUGGAUGAAUAAAACUUCCUAAAGACCUGCUUUUUUGUCCUCACUUCAGCCCUGAUGCCUUAGAGAUUUUAAGUGGACCACAGCUACUGAAACAGCUUACAAACGGCUGAGACAAGACACGCUAUGCCAUCCUGUUAGGUUGAAACACGUCGACGCUACGCUAAUCAUGAUGCUGCGGCCACUGGUGGAGUUUCUCAGCGUGGAUUUCCCUCGAUAUCCGGGCCGUUUAGACUCCUUGUGGGGAAAAAUCGACGGUACGCCAUUUGGCCUAUACUUAUAUCCAUCACCACCUGUAAGCUCUUUCAGUAGCUGUAGUCAUCAUAACAGUAUUUUAUUUUCCAAGUUGUCUAUUUACUGUCUUUACAUUUAUUUUGAAAGAUAAAGCUCAUGAUUAUGGAAAGGGAUGUUACAUUUCUGACAGGUGCUUGCGGUGUUCAGCCAAUCACAACGCACUGGCUCAGCUGGCCAAUCAGAGCAGACUGGGCUUGUCUGAAGGAGGGACUUUGUAGAAAACUAUGCAUUUGAGAGAGGCGGUGCAUAGAGAAUCUACAAUAAUGUACAGUAUUUGAAAAAUAAUGUGUUUUUUGAACAUUAAAGCAUGUCAACAUAUUAUAUUACACCAAAUACACCAAAUUAUGAUCUUUAUAAAAGCAUCAUAUGACCCCUUUAACUUUCUAUUUUUCCUUAGAUUUUAGGCUAGGGUGAAGUGUAGACCUCUAGAAGCUUAAUAAGCUCUUCCCAGAGAUGUUCUGCUACCACAACACCAUUGCUCUAGUAAAUGGCAGCAUGGAUUGAUGUUGCUUGCUCAUAUUUCUCGUGCAUGGGCAUUUC
Molecule: long non-coding RNA, 2299 nt
Filed under: Carassius auratus (goldfish)
Lineage: Eukaryota; Metazoa; Chordata; Actinopteri; Cypriniformes; Cyprinidae
Description: lncRNA (ENSCARG00000026151.1)
Source: RNAcentral